CAUGUGGUUUAAUUCGAAGCAACGCGAAGAACCUUACCUAGACUUGACAUCUCCUGAAUUACUCUUAAUCGAGGAAGUCCCUUCGGGGACAGGAAGACAGGUGGUGCAUGGUUGUCGUCAGCUCGUGGCGUGAGAUGUUGGGUUAAGUCCCGCAACGAGCGCAACCCUUAUUGUUAGUUGCUACUAUUAAGUUAAGCACUCUAACGAGACUGCCGCGGUUAACGUGGAGGAAGGUGGGGAUGACGUCAAAUCAUCAUGCCCCUUAUGUCUAGGGCUACACACGUGCUACAAUGGCUGGUACAACGAGCAGCAAACCCGCGAGGGGGAGCAAAACUUGAAAGCCAGUCCCAGUUCGGAUUGUAGGCUGAAACUCGCCUACAUGAAGUUGGAGUUGCUAGUAAUCGCGAAUCAGCAUGUCGCGGUGAAUACGUUCCCGGGUCUUGUACACACCGCCCGUCACACCAUGAGAGCCGGUAACACCCGAAGCCCGUGAGGUAACCGUAAGGAGCCAGCGGUCGAAGGUGGGAUUGGUGAUUGGGGUGAAGU
RNAcentral lists this ribosomal RNA (546 nucleotides) under Clostridium botulinum C. RNAcentral's name for it is "bacterial SSU rRNA". It matches the Rfam family "Bacterial small subunit ribosomal RNA", at positions 938 to 1486 of the family's 1533-position model. Lineage: Bacteria; Bacillati; Bacillota; Clostridia; Eubacteriales; Clostridiaceae. The record is from RNAcentral.